UACGUUGGGCGCAAGCGUUAUCCGGAAUUAUUGGGCGUAAAGAGCUCGUAGGCGGUUUGUCGCGUCUGCCGUGAAAGUCCGGGGCUCAACUCCGGAUCUGCGGUGGGUACGGGCAGACUAGAGUGAUGUAGGGGAGACUGGAAUUCCUGGUGUAGCGGUGAAAUGCGCAGAUAUCAGGAGGAACACCGAUGGCGAAGGCAGGUCUCUGGGCAUUAACUGACGCUGAGGAGCGAAAGCAUGGGGAGCGAACAGG
Molecule: ribosomal RNA, 253 nt
Filed under: uncultured bacterium
Lineage: Bacteria
Description: partial 16S ribosomal RNA
Rfam family: Bacterial small subunit ribosomal RNA
Source: RNAcentral